GCAAUCUAUGGGGGCGCAGCUGAUGGAUCCGCGAAUGCUGAGGGUGGUCAGGUGGAGACGGUGUGUACAGCCAUGUCGGGUCGAUUGAGCUGGAUCCCUUUGUGGCAGGCAUCGUCGAUGCAGUAGCAGGUGCUGGCGAGGUAGAAGGUGACGGGCAGGCUGAUUCCGCGCAGUGCACCGUAAAUAUGAAUCAAACAUCGAAGGGCUGGACCAAGAGAUGUUUACCUUCACGCAAACUGUCUCACGGUUCUAGCAAACAUGGGCCUUCAUGCCCAUAGGCUGAGCGCGUAUGCAUCUCAAAGGCUGGUUAGCCUCUUCGACAUGCUUUCUCGCAAGUAUGUUAUCUCAAUCGCUAUUCGGUUCUUACUUUUUGCACGUAAAGCAAACUUGUCCUUUUGCUUGUAUGUACCAUCUAACAGGUAUGCCAAAUUAGCUGAGUUAAAAAAUUAAAAGGCUCUCAAAGUUAUAUCUGAUCAAAUUGAAAACAGGCAUCGUCUCAGAUGAUAUGGUACUCUACAGUUAUCUUACAUCGUCAUAGCACCAUUGUUUAUGAGCGGUUUACUUUUGUAGUCAACAUAGCUUCACAUAUACACUGACUUCUUGAUAAUCGUUCUGUAAAUCAUGAAUGCAAUCCUCACAUAUGCAUUUCCCAGAAAUCCCAAGGUAUGUUAGUUCCCAAUGCAGUUUACUGUAUAGGCAGAACCAAAACUGCUUCUAACAUGUUCAUGAUCAGGGUUGUGUAUGCCAUAUUGCACCACCAAGAGGUUUUUGAGCCCUUUAAGAACCAUCCUAAUUGCUUGAGAAUAUUUACAUGGUUCUUCAAUGGUCGAAUAGACAUGCAACAAUUAGAUGGGGAAUGGUCUGUGGACAAGGUUCUUGAGCUCAUUAACAAACAUUGCCGUUCAUGGCGUGGAGAAGAAAUAAAGAUGUUUACACAAUCAUGAUUUACAUAUGACAAUAUGAGCAAGAAAGUCACCCGGGGGAAUUCUUCACUUUCCAUAUGCUUGGCGGCUUAUCCUAUCACGAGGGAAUAGGCUUAUCCUAUCACGAGGGCUGUCAGGCUCCUGGUGACGUUGACCAUAAAUCGGCAUCGAUGUGAAUAUGGGGAGACGGAGAAGUGGUUGGGGAUGUGCGCCUGCUCACCCUGUGCUUGAAGAAGAUGUCAAGGAGGUGUAAGGAUGCUUGGAGUUAGCCAGAAUUUUCUGUUUCGUCGGCGGCCGAAGGGUACAAAGUCAAGCUCGCAUUCGUCGAUCUGCUGCUUCCCGCACAAUCUAGAGGGUGGUGAGGUGGAGGGCAGCGCUAGGAUCGGCCGGCGAAGGAGCUCGGGCGCUCCGGCGGCGUGGU
Molecule: RNA transcript, 1344 nt
Organism: Lolium rigidum
Lineage: Eukaryota; Viridiplantae; Streptophyta; Magnoliopsida; Poales; Poaceae
Exons: 5
Source: RefSeq, a predicted model, not a curated record